UUUUUUAAUUGAAAACUGGUAUGAAGGGUUAAGACUAAGAAGAUGGUUUUAUUUAAUAUAUUUGAAUUUAAAUUAAAAGUAAAAAUGCUUUUAUGAAUUUUUGGGACGAGAAGACCCUAGAAGCUUGAAAUUGGUGAAUUUUUGAUUGGGGCAAUAUUUGAAGAGAGAGAUUUUUGGAGUAUGAAAGUAAAUUUAGUAAAGUUACUCUAGGGAUAACAGCAUUAUUUAAUUAGCGAGUUCUUAUUAAUAAUUAAGUUUGUGACCUCGAUGUUGAAUUAAUU
Molecule: ribosomal RNA, 281 nt
Filed under: Gonyleptes gonyleptoides
Lineage: Eukaryota; Metazoa; Arthropoda; Arachnida; Opiliones; Gonyleptidae
Description: partial large subunit ribosomal RNA
Source: RNAcentral